RNAcentral lists this long non-coding RNA (1208 nucleotides) under Pongo abelii (Sumatran orangutan). RNAcentral's name for it is "bidirectional promoter lncRNA". The record is from RNAcentral. Lineage: Eukaryota; Metazoa; Chordata; Mammalia; Primates; Hominidae.
CGGCCUGCCGCGGCCCCGAGCUCACCUGAGGCGGAGGCGCCCGCGACUCCCCGCCAGCUCCGCCAGUCUCCGCCAGCCCCGGCCCUCGGGCGCCUGGUCCAGGCGCUCGCUAAGCCUCCGCAGCAGCGGCUCCCGCAGGCGGUUGAGGGUCGCGCCGGCCGGAGGCGCGAGCAGCGGCCCCGUGGGGGCGGCCGAGGGCGGCAGGGCCUGUAGCGGGUCCCCCAACAGCGACAUGGCCCUCACCGGCAACCCUGGACUGCCGGGGUUCCCGCCCGCCCCGUCACGGGCCUCGGCCCCGGGGCACCUUCCGCUCGCCUCCGAGCCGCGGAGGCAGGGGCGGAAGAACAAAUCUGGCAGCGCGGCACGGCCCUCAGAGGAGGAAGCUCCGCUCCCCGCCCCAACUAGACAGCGGGAAUCAUCGGUUUACACCGCGUCAGACUGCCGCCCGCAAUCUCCGUCAUCAAAGCAGGCAACUCUGUAGAGGAUGCCUUUCCCUGGAAUGAUCCGGAAUGGACGACACCUGAGCUCUCUCUGCCAAUCUUAGCAACAUCCAAGGCCAUUAUCCCUUUGAAAACUAUGGCUUCGUUUGGGACAAAAAGGAAGUAACUUACGAAAUGUGACCAGUCAGGUAGUUCCCUACACAAGGCUUCCUGGCCCAAUUUCUGUUGCCAUUAGCUUUUCAUCACCCAAGGCCGCAGGAUUUUCUGACCAAUAAUUUGGAUACCUAUAUUCUUAUACAUGUUGGCGAGGAAGGUGCGCCAUACAGUCUCCACCACAUUCUAGCACAAGCAGUCAUUAAACUUCACUCUAGCAUAAGUUAAGAAUUCAGACUGCAGUGAGAUGGCUAAGAGCAUGAAAGAUCUGCUCGAUUCAAGUGUUAGGAGCUUGAAUAAGUUUCUUAAUUUCUCUGCCUCAUCUAUUAACAUAGGACUGACAAUACAAUUUAUAUAGAGUUGUUGCCAGAAUUAAAGGAGUUGAUGUAUGUGAAGCACUUAACUCGGUAACUGGCACAUCGUAGAUAACUCAAUAAAUGCUAUUACCCUUACACAUACAAGUGCCGUUUCAUACUCAGUUUGACUUGGCAAGCCUUUCCCAACCACUUCAGGUGCCUUCCUGUUUUGUCCUCAAUCACUGUACAAAUAUUUUCUGAGGAUCUAUUACCUGCAAGUGCCAAUUAUGGAAAUAAAAUCUUCUAGUCUUUACUGGAA